CCGGGUUCAAAUCCCGGACGAGCCCUGUUUUGGAGUAAGAAUCACUUAAAGGUGAGUUUUUUUGGGGAUAGAUUACUAAACGUAAUAAAUACAGGUUGGUCAGAGUAAAACACAAAAUUGAGAUUUUUGGAAACUUAGAGCACACUCUACAUUGAAAUACCAUUAAAAGGCCUCAUUUUGAAAAUGUAAAAAGUUUGCUAGUAAUGUAGUAUUGUACUAUGAAAACAUUGUCCCUAGCUGUCUAUUCCUGGGUGCAGCGCGUGUACAGGGCCAUCGGGAGCUCAGUUCUUGGCUGCCUAUGGCGUGGUUUAAACUCAUCCACGACAGUGCCCCUCAUCGGGGGUGGGGAUAUCUCCUGAGCGCCCCUUUCCUCGGAAAUGCUGAUUCCCGAACCCCGGG
This 399-nucleotide long non-coding RNA is filed under the name Homo sapiens (human). Its description in RNAcentral is "non-protein coding lnc-ADCY10-1:1". Lineage: Eukaryota; Metazoa; Chordata; Mammalia; Primates; Hominidae. The record is from RNAcentral.